GACGAACCGUGCGAACGUUAUUCGGAAUCACUGGGCUUAAAGCGCGUGUAGGCGCCCGGCGCGUCUUUCGCUGAAAUCCCCCGGCUCAACCGGGGAAGGGGCGGGGAUACGGCCGGGCUGGAGGGGGGUAGGGGGAUCGGGGAACUUCCGGUGGAGCGGUGAAAUGCGUUGAGAUCGGAAGGAACGCCCGCGGCGAAAGCGCGGUCCUGGACCCCACCUGACGCUGAGACGCGAAAGCCAGGGGAGCGAA
Molecule: ribosomal RNA, 250 nt
Filed under: uncultured bacterium
Lineage: Bacteria
Description: partial 16S ribosomal RNA
Rfam family: Bacterial small subunit ribosomal RNA
Source: RNAcentral